Molecule: non-coding RNA, 29 nt
Filed under: Homo sapiens (human)
Lineage: Eukaryota; Metazoa; Chordata; Mammalia; Primates; Hominidae
Source: RNAcentral
UGCUGAUGUACACCAAGUUGGUUGUGGGC